Long non-coding RNA from Octopus sinensis (East Asian common octopus), 134 nucleotides. RefSeq lists it as uncharacterized. The transcript is spliced from 3 exons. Lineage: Eukaryota; Metazoa; Mollusca; Cephalopoda; Octopoda; Octopodidae. The record is from RefSeq and is a predicted model, not a curated record.
GUGUGUAUGAGCUUGUAUGCAAAUGUACAGCAGAGUUCAGGGGCAAUCUUUGCCAAGCGGCUUUACUCCGCAUGUUUUAGCUUCGUUACUAUGGCGACAAUCCGGAUACUUAUUGAUCAGACCUCUAUGUAUGU